This 366-nucleotide ribosomal RNA is filed under the name uncultured bacterium. Its description in RNAcentral is "partial 16S ribosomal RNA". It matches the Rfam family "Bacterial small subunit ribosomal RNA", at positions 338 to 696 of the family's 1533-position model. The record is from RNAcentral.
CCUACGGGUGACUGCAGUGGGGAAUAUUGCGCAAUGGGCGCAAGCCUGACGCAGCGACGCCGCGUGAGGGAUGAAGGUCUUCGGAUUGUAAACCUCUGUCAGCCGGGAAGAACGGUCACUGUGCUAAUCCGCUGUGAAUUGACGGUACCUGCAAAGGAAGCACCGGCUAACUCCGUGCCAGCAGCCGCUGUAAUACGGAGGGUGCGAGCGUUAAUUGGAAUUACUGGGCGUAAAGCGCCCGUAGGCGGUGUGUCAAGUCAAGGGUGAAAUCCCCGCGCUCAACGCGGGAACUGCCUUUGAAACUGGGAAACUGGAGUGCGUGAGAGGAUAGUGGAAUUCCAGGUGUAGGAGGGGAAUCGGGAGAUA